RNAcentral lists this small nuclear RNA (19 nucleotides) under Arabidopsis thaliana (thale cress). RNAcentral describes it as "snRNA_06467". The record is from RNAcentral. Lineage: Eukaryota; Viridiplantae; Streptophyta; Magnoliopsida; Brassicales; Brassicaceae.
CCAUACCCUGGUGGUAUGA